GCAACGUGAUGAGUUAAUGUCGAAGAUGACAAAAAAAGAGGGACCUUGAUCCGAAUUCGCUCGAUGACUGGUGUACCCCAUGCCAGCCAGUUUGGGGUGUGCCCUGCUUACUGCCCAUACUGCCCUUACUCAGCUGGGACAGGCUCCAGCAACCCUGUGAUCCUCCUCCUCCAGGUGGACUCCGAGGCGUUCCCAGGCCAGUCAGGAGACAGCCUCCCCAGCGUGUCCUGGGUCAACCCCGGGGCCUCCAACCAGUGGUACAUGCCUGCAACACCACACUGAGGAGGCAUCCAGGACGCAUCCUAAUCAUAUGCCUGAGCCACCUCAUCUGACUCCUCUCGAUGCGGAGAUGCAGCAGCAGCUCUACUCCGAGCCCUGCCUGGAUGACCGAGUUUCUCACCUAAUCUCAUAUCAAAUUUUUUAUCUUGAAAAUCACUAGCCCUACUUAAUGUAGAUUGUAGGUUGUAGGUUGUAGAUCAUUUAAAUCCACCCAUUUAAAAAAAUUACAGGAAAAUCUAGUUGAAAGUGAAAAUUGUAAAAAUCCUGAUACAUUCAUACAGAAUUUGACCAAUUUGACAGAAUAAGACCAUGAUGUCAUUAAACUAUCCACUCUGUCUACACAAAUAAACAGAACAAAUAAAAUGGUGUGAAUAUGUAUGCUGCCUGGGUGACAUUAUCUAUCAGUCAUUCAUUUCUAAUGAUUUAAUACAAGUAACUCACUUGCUGAGCAGGUUUUCCAGUGAGGGGUCUUCCUGCUUCAUGGAUUCACUGCUAACAAUCACAUUUGUUUGUGGAACAACACUGUAAGAGAAACAUUAUAUGAUAAGGUUGAUACAUUGGAAACCUCUGUCAGAUGGGACAUAACUCAAAAUACUACAUUGGCGUGUCAUCCACAAACAUAUGAUGCUUACCAUCGCACUUUGUUCCAGGUC
Corythoichthys intestinalis (scribbled pipefish) is the source of this 932-nucleotide long non-coding RNA. RefSeq lists it as uncharacterized. The record is from RefSeq and is a predicted model, not a curated record. The transcript has 3 exons. Lineage: Eukaryota; Metazoa; Chordata; Actinopteri; Syngnathiformes; Syngnathidae.